This 449-nucleotide ribosomal RNA is filed under the name uncultured bacterium. Its description in RNAcentral is "SSU rRNA". It matches the Rfam family "Bacterial small subunit ribosomal RNA", at positions 26 to 518 of the family's 1533-position model. The record is from RNAcentral.
AGAACGAACGCUGGCGGCAGGCUUAACACAUGCAAGUCGAACGCGUGUAGCAAUACACGAGUGGCGCACGGGUGAGUAACGCGUGGAUAUCUGCCUUUUGGUUCGGAAUAACCCCGGGAAACUGGGGCUAAUACCGGAUAGUUCCUACGGGAUAAAGAUUUAUCGCCAAAAGAUGAGUCCGCGUACGAUUAGCUAGUUGGUGAGGUAAUGGCUCACCAAGGCGACGAUCGUUAGCUGGUCUGAGAGGACGAUCAGCCACACUGGGACUGAGACACGGCCCAGACUCCUACGGGAGGCAGCAGUGGGGAAUAUUGGACAAUGGGGGCAACCCUGAUCCAGCCAUGCCGCGUGAGUGAUGAAGGCCUUCGGGUUGUAAAGCUCUUUUGGCGGGGACGAUGAUGACGGUACCCGCAGAAUAACGCCCCGGCUAACUUCGUGCCAGCAGCCGC